GGGGAUUUAGCUCAGUGGUAGAGCGCUUGUCUAGCAAGCGCAAGGCCCUGGAGUUCAGUCCCCA
RNAcentral lists this transfer RNA (64 nucleotides) under Rattus norvegicus (Norway rat). It matches the Rfam family "tRNA". From Rfam's summary of the family: Transfer RNA (tRNA) molecules are approximately 80 nucleotides in length. Their secondary structure includes four short double-helical elements and three loops (D, anti-codon, and T loops). Lineage: Eukaryota; Metazoa; Chordata; Mammalia; Rodentia; Muridae. The record is from Rfam by way of RNAcentral.